CAUGAUGCCAUAUUUUGGAUACUAUUCCUAGGAUAUGUUUCUUUCUUUCUAUUUUUUUUUUUGAAAUGAGAAGAACUUUGAAUGGAUCUUUGUGUUGGCUUUUUCAAAAAUGAUCAUUCAUAAGAUGAUUGUGGCUGGAGUAGACCAGCAACCAUAACAAGUUUGGAGAAAAUCAAGAAUCGGAAGAAAGAAAGGAUUAGAUUUUAAAGCCAAGGAAAAUGGAAGGAAGCAGGAGAGUGAAUGGCAUAAAAAAAGGGGAGAAAAUGGAGCAUCUGUGAAUUGUGAUGCAAAGGUUUUGGAGGAGAGCAGAAAAUAGGACCAGAAGGUUUUGGAGCAAUGCACGAUGGCCAGAGAGACCCCCAUUAGACAAGUGUUGGAAAUGACAUGAUGGAAUUAGAAAGAGAGAUGGCUCUGGGUGGCUCGCAACAAUCAAACAAAUUAAGGGUCCAAUUCCCUUCUUAUUGAAAUUCAACUUGGAGACUUCCCAGCUAAAGAUAUUAGAGGAAUCAAGGGCAGACUUUACCAGUGCAGUAAAGAUCGGCAUUUUGCAGGCCAGAUCCAAACCAGUAAUCCACAUUUUAUGGACUAUCAACCUGGGAAGAGUUGUGAAAUUCAAGGUGCCAAGGAUGACUGUUGAAUUUCAGAGCACAGAGCAGUUUGUGAGCACAUUAAUUGUAACAAUUACUACAAUAAAGCACAUGAAGAAUCUUGAACAUUCUGAUGCUUUGUGUACAAGCAUUGCAUAUUGGCUAACUAUUUAUUUGUCAAACAGGAACUAGGUUCAUAGUACCAGAUGACUAUCUGGUGACAGCUAAUGAAUAAGAUGGCAGGGCUGGAUGUGGUGGGAAAUGUGCCCAUAGAUAUCUCUCCUGGUGCCCAGUGCGUUCUCUGCUCCAUGUAACCAUGAUUGUUUAGAGUUCCCUAUGAUAUGAGUCCAUGGGCCCCAUAUGUAUUCUAAGAAGAUCAACUGUAUGGAUAAUAGCAGACCAGGACUUUGAAAAUACCUUGAAAGGGUGUCCCCUUGCUGAGAAAACAAUGCUAACAAAACAUGGUCCUUCCAGAAAGCAGU
Non-coding RNA from Python bivittatus (Burmese python), 1069 nucleotides. The record is from RefSeq and is a predicted model, not a curated record. NCBI's taxonomy places the organism in Eukaryota, Metazoa, Chordata, Lepidosauria, Squamata, Pythonidae.